UGAGAGCUUAAUCUGAUCCUUAAGUGUUGC
This 30-nucleotide non-coding RNA is filed under the name Mus musculus (house mouse). The record is from RNAcentral. Lineage: Eukaryota; Metazoa; Chordata; Mammalia; Rodentia; Muridae.